GUGGCUGUAGCUCAGCUGGUUAGAGCGUCCGGUUGUGGUCCGGAAGGUCGCGGGUUCAAACCCCGUCAGCCACC
Molecule: transfer RNA, 74 nt
Filed under: Rhodothermaceae bacterium
Lineage: Bacteria; Pseudomonadati; Rhodothermota; Rhodothermia; Rhodothermales; Rhodothermaceae
Description: tRNA-His
Rfam family: tRNA
About the family: Transfer RNA (tRNA) molecules are approximately 80 nucleotides in length. Their secondary structure includes four short double-helical elements and three loops (D, anti-codon, and T loops). Further hydrogen bonds mediate the characteristic L-shaped molecular structure. tRNAs have two regions of fundamental functional importance: the anti-codon, which is responsible for specific mRNA codon recognition, and the 3' end, to which the tRNAs corresponding amino acid is attached (by aminoacyl-tRNA synthetases). tRNAs cope with the degeneracy of the genetic code in two manners: having more than one tRNA (with a specific anti-codon) for a particular amino acid; and 'wobble' base-pairing, i.e. permitting non-standard base-pairing at the 3rd anti-codon position.
Source: RNAcentral